This 4159-nucleotide long non-coding RNA is filed under the name Brachypodium distachyon (stiff brome). RNAcentral's name for it is "long non-coding RNA (BDIS_LNC001437)". The record is from RNAcentral. Lineage: Eukaryota; Viridiplantae; Streptophyta; Magnoliopsida; Poales; Poaceae.
AGAAAAAAACCCAGCAGUCACGUGAUCGGCGGCGAACAAAGAACGGUUUCAACACUUGGUUUCCAGCGUCAAAGCCCCUGAUGCAUGGAGAGAUGUGGUUCCUCUGCUCUGACGAUGAUAUAAUAAACCGAUUGAAUGUAACUUACCUGGGUUGUCGAUCAAAGGUGCCUUCCAUUUGCCUCUUGUAGUUGGGAUUCUUAAUUUUGUUUAUAAAAAAAGGCUCACGUUAUAGAGGAGAGCAUGUUCAACCACCAUUAUAUAGAAGCCUCCUCCAUGCAUUAACCCAGUAAAAAAAACCUUGCUAUUAUAUCUUGGAAUUGACUCUGCGUAUCUUGUGAUUCAAGUUCUACUUUCCUGUUCUGUUCCAUCAAUCGCAACCAAGACAUCAAUUUCAUAGCAGAAAGUAGCAGUAAACAUUUCCAGUCUAACCUAUUAAUACCCCCUUAAUUAAUUUAUUCAUGGUAAUUGUUUUUUUAAGGGAAAUUCAUGGUAAUUGUUGACUGCACAAAAAAAAGAGUAAAUUUCACAAAACCACUACUCCAGGGGUUAGGGUUUCACAGAGUUACCACUUCAGGAGCUUGCAUCAGUUUGUCACUGCUCUAAGUAUCGGCUUCCCCAAAUCUUACCGAUUAGUGCAUUUGACACUAACUGACAAGACGGGCCCACAGGCCCACAUGUAAGACAACUUUUGUUCCUUUCAUUUUUCAACUAGCCCCCUCGAUUUAUUUUCCCAUUCUCCUAUCCUCUUCUGCCUCUUCUUCUCCUGCUCUGGCCGCUGACGCCAUCCCCUGCUGGACCGACGCCAUGGCCGCUAGAAGGAACGGAUUUGAUGGCUGCCGGCCGUGUUGCCGCCGCCCUGACGCCGGAGCGCCGCCCCCAUCACCCCCAUGUGCGAAUCCGUCGGCGGAGGAGGGCGGCUCCUCCAACCCAAGAAGCGACGGUCUGCCCCACCAUGUUUGAUCCGGUCCGAGGAGAGGAGGUAGGUGAACUGGGAAUCAAAUCAAAAGGAGAGAUCUUGCGCCCGCAGCAUCAGCUUGACCCCAAUCCCAAGUAAGAACAGAAGGGAUCUGGAAAAAUCAAAGCCUGAUGCUCAAGAGGAGGACACAACGAGCAGACAAGAACCAUGGAUUGAAGCUUGAAACAAAUAAAACCAAUCUUCCUCCUCCUCCAUGAUUGCUGAAAAUUUUAGAAAAAGGGAGACCGGGGGCGAUACGGAACGGACUUAAUCAAACUUGGGCCGCCGCCGGGUCAUCCUACGCCGGCACCAUGUCCGCCGCCGGGGAAAGAUUGGGGAUCGGGACGAAUUGGGGAUCAGGAACUGCUCCUCUGGAGCUGGACUCGCUGCUCACCUUGGCUCUCUCCCUCUCCCUCAUGUCCUCCGGUGUGCUGAGCACGUGCAGCGGCUGCUCCACCCUCCUCUUGAUUAGUUUCCUGUUGCAAAGCAGAGCAUGGAGGUACGACGCAAACCAUGCUGCUAACUUGGAAUAAUUAAGCUACGCGAGCCUGUUAAUCGAACUUGACGGUGUGCACGCAGGAGUCCAUAGCGUCCGGCGGGUCACUCCACAGGUACGGGUGCGUCCUGGAACCACCGCGGACUCCGGCGAGAUGCUCCGACGAGAUGCAGGCAGCCGGAGCAGUUGAAGAAGGGGAGAAAAGAAUUAAUGGAAAUAACAGGGGGCUGAAUGAAUAAAUGGAUGCCACUUAGGACCUUACAAGUGGCCCCAACUAGUCAGUUCUGCUGUCAAAUGCACUAAUCCGCGAUAUUUGGGCAAACUGAUAGUUAUUGCCCAUAGAGUAGUGGCAAACUGAUGCAAGCCCGUGAAGUUGUGGCUCCGCGAAACCUUAGCCCCUAGAGCAGUGGUUUUGUGAAAUUUACUCAAAAAAGGACAAAAAAGGACAAAGGAAAUAUUAGCUGAUAUCCCCACAUAUCGUAAUUAAGGUCAAUUUACAGCGAGUACAAGUCGAAAGGCAUCUUCUACUUGCAUCUACAUGGUGAAGAUACAUUUCCCAACUUAAUUAACAUUACAAUGUUCCACAUAGUCAACGUACUGCCCAAGUGCAUCCAUGGCCAUGGCAUCAAAUGCAAUGUCUACGUACUGCCGAAGUGCAGCCAUGGCCAAUUGACAUUCGUGUACAUACUACUACUGAUCAUGAACAUACACAUAUCAACCCUGGCAAGUUUUAGGAAGUCAAGGAACCAAUGUACUCCCCUAGUAGUUCAGAAACCGGGAAUAUACAGUAAUUAAAGCCUCGGACAUACGAAGAGGUCAUACUUGGCACUUGGACUGAAACAAACAGACAAUGUUUUAAAAAGAAACAAGAAACGUCAUUGUGCAGGUUCUGCGGAUAACAAAUACCGAACUGCAGGCCUGCAGCAAUUUUUAUACGGAGUAGUAUGUAGCUACUUGUACUAUAUCAGCAGACCAAUACUCCAUUGAGGAAUCAGAAAAGGGGUUGGUAAGGUCCAGGCAUAUCUUGUAAUUUCACAAAUUUUAUCUGGCUGCUAUCAUUAUCAUGGUGAAUCAUCUGCUGCUGCAACUGCAAGUCUCUUUGGAGAAGGUUCAGCAGAGGAAGGCUUCGUGUUAGCUCGUCGGAUGCCUCCACCUACAGCGCCUCGGUCAGUUACACUACUUUCAGCAUUUCCUGUUGUUGUUGAUGUACGAAUUACUGGGGAAGCGAAGCUGCUGUUUAAUCCAGCCAUCUGCGAAGAAAUCAAUGGUGCAGCCCUUGACACAGCAUUGUCAACAUUCUGUUCUGCCUCUGGGGCAACCCUCUUCAUAAUCUCAACUGCGGCACAGCUUGGGGUUGACACUGCUUGCUCCACCUCUUCAAGCUGAAUCAAAACAAUUCAGAGAUGUCAUUGUUCCAUAUAAGCAUUGAAAAAUCUUUUCAUUGUUCAUGCGUACGCCACUAGGUUUAUUAGGAAAGCAAAGUUGAUGCCAUUAAUAAAAUCAGUUUAUUUACCUUCCUCUCCAGUUUAGCCAAUAUGCGAGUACGCCACAUCUCAUUAUCUUGAAUUGAUUUUGUACUUCCUUCCGCAGAAGAUGCACCUUUUCCCAGAGCAGAGAUGAUACACUCCAUAGUGUUGCCUGGGCUCUUCUCAACUAUUGUUCUUGCAAUAUUCAACAUUUUCCGGGACAGGUUUAAAUCAGAAUAUUCUUCAUCACCUGCCAUUUCACCAUGUGCCUUGUCACCAUCACUUUUCCUAUCUUCCUGAGCUAUGCCAUUUGAGUUUUGCCCUAAUCAAUGACCGUGGUAUGUAUCAAAGAAGAAAGAAAGUACAUUGAACAUGGAAAUCAACUACUGUAGUGUUGGACUCUUCAUGAAAAGAACUUCCUAUUUAAUAUAUAAAUAAAACAUAGAUACGAAAUGGCAAAAAGCCACUGAAAGCAAUAAGAUGCAUACAAAUGCAUAUUUAAAUGAACCAAUUUAAUCGGUAUCAUACGGUCAUCAUUAGUAUUGGUGCAUCUAAGAGAAAAUUAGUUAGAAUUCUGAUGGAAAUGUAAGGCAAUAAAUAUUCACAUAAUCAAAUUAUUGGACAGUUUCUGUAACGCAUAAUCGCUGAAAGAGGAACUUCUAUAUUGUAAAGUUAGCCCAUGCAAGUAUACUAAUUAGACAGCUAACUGCAAAAGAAUCGAAUGAAGCCAGUGCAUCAUAGAUCCUUAUCUGUUUAUUGUAGCAUUGCCAUUCGGCCAAGUCGAGUGUAGAUUUAAGAAAGGCAACAAUAAAUAUACAAACCAAUAGCAAAUAGCUUACAUAUGCCACUCCCGUUCAAAAUAUGGCUGAAAAGCAUAUUUAUAACAUUAACAUGAUGAAAUGCAUGCAUGCGAAAAAAUGAGCAAAACCACUUGAUUAAAACGGCCCCUUAUCGAAUGAUGAUAAGAAUUCAAGAAAUAAGUCGAAACAAUAAACAAUUUGUAUUUUCAAGGGAGACUUUACUUUGCAAAUGAAGAAGUACGUUACUAAUUAGCAGUUUGUUAUGUAUACUCUUUAGCAGGUAUGAGCAGAGGGAGAACAAAGGUUGUAAGCUGCAGAAUAUUUUAAUUAUUUAGAUCUCAUUUCACAGGUAAAGGAAUAAAGAUAUACCUUCUUCAGUAUCAACUUCCUCCAUAGAUGGAGCACCCUCAACAUUGCCGCCAGAGGCCUUUGAGUUUCCAGC